RNAcentral lists this unclassified non-coding RNA (278 nucleotides) under uncultured Anabaena sp. Its description in RNAcentral is "partial 16S-23S ribosomal RNA intergenic spacer". Lineage: Bacteria; Bacillati; Cyanobacteriota; Cyanophyceae; Nostocales; Nostocaceae. The record is from RNAcentral.
UAGGGAGACCUAAUCCAUUUAGAAAUCGAAAACAAUGAAAAUUGUCAAUAGAAACUAAAUUGGUCUAACCUAGGUCGUUCGAGAUUGGUAGACAUCUUUCAAAGUAUUAUUCGGCUUCGUUCAAAACCAUAUAUAAUAAAUGGAAAAAGACAGCACCUAAUUGUCAAAGUUAGACUGCUGGAUGAAGUUCCAGCCAGAACCUUGAAAACUGCAUAAGAGAACAAGAAAAAGCAGGCAGACACAGACAUUUAGGUGGAUGUGGAAGCAAAAGAAAUUGU